GUUGGCUUAGAAGCAGCCAUCCUUUAAAGAAAGCGUAACAGCUCACUGGUCUAGUCGGCCUGCGCGGAAGAUUUAACGGGGCUUAAGCCGUAUACCGAAGCUGCGGCUCGAUGCGUUCUUCGGAGCGUAUCGGGGGUAGGGGAGCGUUCUGUAAGCCAGUGAAGGUGCGUCGCGAGGCGUGCUGGAGGUAUCAGAAGUGCGAAUGCUGACAUGAGUAACGAUUAUGCGGGUGAAAAACCCGCACGCCAGAAGCCCAAGGUUUCCUGCGCAACGCUAAUCGGCGCAGGGUGAGUCGGCCCCUAAGGCGAGACCGAAAGGUGUAGUCGAUGGGAAACAGGUCAACAUUCCUGUACCGGCCGUAACUGCGAUGGGGUGACGGAGAAGGUUAGGCUUACCGGGCGUUGGUUGUCCCGGGAAAAGCAGGUAGGCGGGCGCUUUUGGAAAAUCCGGAGCGCCGCUAACGCCGAGAUGCGAGACCACCGGCAUUGCCGGGAAGUAGCUGACACCAUGCUUCCAAGAAAAACCUCUAAGCAUCAGGUUGCGGACGACCGUACCGUAAACCGACACAGGUGGGCAGGGAGAGAAUCCUAAGGCGUUUGAGAGAACUCGGGUGAAGGAACUAGGCAAAUUGGUACCGUAACUUCGGGAGAAGGUACGCCUCUGACGGUGACGGGACUUGCUCCCCAAGCUGUCGGAGGCCGCAGUGACCAGGUGGCUGCGACUGUUUACUAAAAACACAGCACUCUGCUAACUCGCAAGAGGAUGUAUAGGGUGUGACGCCUGCCCGGUGCCGGAAGGUUAAGUGAUCUUGUUAGCCCUUUGGGCGAAGCUCGUGACCGAAGCCCCGGUAAACGGCGGCCGUAACUAUAACGGUCCUAAGGUAGCGAAAUUCCUUGUCGGGUAAGUUCCGACCUGCACGAAUGGCGUAACGAUGGCCACACUGUCUCCACCCGAGACUCAGCGAAAUUGAACUCGCUGUUAAGAUGCAGUGUACCCGCGGCUAGACGGAAAGACCCCGUGAACCUUUACUACAGCUUUGUACUGGAUCUUGAGCCAGCUUGUGCAGGAUAGGUGGGAGGCUUUGAAGCGAGAACGCUAGUUUUCGUGGAGCCAACCUUGAAAUACCACCCUGGCUUGUUUGAGGUUCUAACCCAGGCCCGUUAUCCGGGUCGGGGACAGUGCAUGGUGGGUAGUUUGACUGGGGCGGUCUCCUCCCAAAGAGUAACGGAGGAGCGCAAAGGUACCCUCAGCGCGGUCGGACAUCGCGCAUUGCGUGUAAAGGCAAAAGGGUGCUUGACUGCGAGACGUACAAGUCGAGCAGGGACGAAAGUCGGUCUUAGUGAUCCGGUGGUUCUGUAUGGAAUGGCCAUCGCUAAACGGAUAAAAGGUACUCCGGGGAUAACAGGCUGAUUCCUCCCAAGAGUCCACAUCGACGGAGGAGUUUGGCACCUCGAUGUCGGCUCAUCACAUCCUGGGGCUGUAGCAGGUCCCAAGGGUAUGGCUGUUCGCCAUUUAAAGUGGUACGCGAGCUGGGUUUAGAACGUCGUGAGACAGUUCGGUCCCUAUCUGCCGUGGGCGUUGGAGAAUUGAGAGGAGCUGCUCCUAGUACGAGAGGACCGGAGUGGACGUACCUCUGGUGUUCCGGUUGUCACGCCAGUGGCAUUGCCGGGUAGCUAUGUACGGAAGGGAUAACCGCUGAAAGCAUCUAAGCGGGAAGCCCACCCCAAGAUUAGGUUUCCCGGAUCUUCGGAUCCCUGAAGGGCCCUUGAAGACUACAAGGUUGAUAGGCUGGGUGUGGAAGCGCGGCAACGCGUGAAGCUAACCAGUACUAAUUGCCCGUGCGGCUUAAACCG
RNAcentral lists this ribosomal RNA (1853 nucleotides) under Gammaproteobacteria bacterium. RNAcentral describes it as "partial 23S ribosomal RNA". It matches the Rfam family "Bacterial large subunit ribosomal RNA", at positions 1100 to 2925 of the family's 2925-position model. Lineage: Bacteria; Pseudomonadati; Pseudomonadota; Gammaproteobacteria. The record is from RNAcentral.